GGUGAAGCUUACCUGAGGUUCCAA
Molecule: non-coding RNA, 24 nt
Filed under: Arabidopsis thaliana (thale cress)
Lineage: Eukaryota; Viridiplantae; Streptophyta; Magnoliopsida; Brassicales; Brassicaceae
Source: RNAcentral